Molecule: long non-coding RNA, 1378 nt
Organism: Spinacia oleracea (spinach)
Lineage: Eukaryota; Viridiplantae; Streptophyta; Magnoliopsida; Caryophyllales; Amaranthaceae
Exons: 7
Source: RefSeq, a predicted model, not a curated record
UUCACACCAACAAAAUCUCAAAAAGCAAGAGACCAAAUUUUCAAAGUCCCGCGCUCAACUCCGUUCUUCAAUUCUUCCCUCAGCUUUCCCUGCCGGUGGGUCUCGUCAGUGGUUCUCUCCCUCUAGCUUCCUCGUCGGUGGUUCUCUUUUCUCGUUGGUGGUUCUCGCCCUCUAGCCUCCUCGUCGGUGGUUCUCUUUUCUCGUUGGUGGUUCUCGCCAUCUAGCUUCCUCGUCGGUGGUUCUCGCCAUCUAGCUUCUCUGUCGCUGAACCAGCUAGCUUGCUCGGCCGGUGGUUCAGCUCGUGUCCUGUUCUUCGUCAAUCUUUUCGCCGCGAGAUUGGAUCAAGGUUUGUCACUUUACCAGUAGAGAGACUUCUAGCAGUAGUCAAUGCCCUGCUCCACCGGUGCUACAAGUAUCCAACUGUAACUACUGCGAAGGUGCCUCAGUCUCUUAGGAAGGAGCUUUUCGGUGUCUGUAGGGCUUUCUUAUCAGUAGAUGCUAUAAACAAGCAUGUUGAUUUCGUGCGAGAGUACAAGCCAGACUUUGAACGUGAUAUUGAUCUAGAUAACACUUCUACCUUCCUAGCAACACUUUCUGAACUCACUGAGAGAUUGAAGCAUUGGAAUAAUGUUCUGCAAAGCAAUGUUGAGGACAGAUUUCCUGCUGUGCUGAAGCUAGAAGAGGAAAGCAGGGUUUUGCGUGAUUUCCAUGUUGUUGAUGUUGAGCUUCCAGGACAGUAUUUCACUGAUCAGAAACUCGAAGCUUACGCACAUGCUGCAGAGCUCUUGAGAUUAGUGCUAGCGCUACAGACUUGGGGGAGACUUUAUGCUCCCUGAACUUUUCUAGUCGAGUCAAGGGAAUCGAAUAUGGUCCAGCUCGCAAACAGACAGAUUUUUCUGAGCUCCUCAAGUAUAAGCAUCUUGCUAAGAAAUCAAAGCAUGAUGAAGAAGAAGCAAAGAAACUGCAGGACAAUGUACAAUCUUUGCAGCUAAAACUUUUUGCCAGAGAGCAUAUAUGUAGAAAUCUCCAAGAGAAGUUUAUGCAGAUGGAAGUAUCUGUCUUGACAUUCUACAAAAUAAAUGGAGUCCCAUAUAUGAUGUUGCUGCUAUCCUAACGUCAAUUCAGGUCUAUACUCCGAGGAAUACACCUUAUGCUAGUGAGGAAAUUGAAGUGGUUCGUGAGCAAUGUGAUAAGUUUAUUACCAGGAAAUAUUUAUUAUUUGCCUGAGCGCGCUUGAUCGAGUAGGUUUAGAUGUUAUAGAACAACCUUUUAUAUUAAAUUGUAUGCCUAAGUUGAAAUUGGAACGUACAUAUAUUUUAAUGUAUGUGGUACGUGCACUUUGGUUUGGGGAUAUAUACAAAACAACAGUUAUUGUUUU